RNAcentral lists this ribosomal RNA (541 nucleotides) under uncultured bacterium. RNAcentral describes it as "bacterial SSU rRNA". It matches the Rfam family "Bacterial small subunit ribosomal RNA", at positions 777 to 1317 of the family's 1533-position model. The record is from RNAcentral.
AAUAGAUACCCGGGUAGUCCAUGCUGUAAACGAUGAGAACUAGAUGUUAGGGGGCAUGACCUCUUAGUAUCGAAGCUAACGCGAUAAGUUCUCCGCCUGGGGAGUACGGCCGCAAGGUUAAAACUCAAAGAAAUUGACGGGGGCCCGCACAAGCGGUGGAGCAUGUGGUUUAAUUCGAUGCAACGCGAAGAACCUUACCUACCUUUGAAUCCACGGAACCUAGCAGAGAUGUUGGGGUGCCUUCGGGAACCGUGAGACAGGUGCUGCAUGGCUGUCGUCAGCUCGUGUCGUGAGAUGUUGGGUUAAGUCCCGUAACGAGCGCAACCCUUGUCCUUAGUUGCCAUCAGGUUAUGCUGGGCACUUUAAGGAGACUGCCGGUGAUAAACCGGAGGAAGUGGGGAUGACGUCAAGUCCUCAUGGCCCUUACAGGUAGGGCUACACACGUGCUACAAUGGGCAGUACAGAGGGAAGCCAACCCGGCGAGGGGGGAGCGAAUCUCAUAAAGCUGUUCGUAGUCCGGAUUGGAGUCUGCAACUCGACU